Molecule: ribosomal RNA, 459 nt
Filed under: uncultured organism
Description: partial 16S ribosomal RNA
Rfam family: Bacterial small subunit ribosomal RNA
Source: RNAcentral
ACGUACACUCCUGCGGGAGGCAGCAGUGGGGAAUUUUACGCAAUGGGGGAAACCCUGACGUAGCGACACCGCGUGAGCGAAGAAGCCCUUUGGGGUGUAAAGCUCUGUCAGCUGGAACGAAAACAAUGACGGUACCAGCAGAGGAAGCAUCGGCUAACUACGUGCCAGCAGCCGCGGUAAGACGUAGGAUGCGAGCGUUGUCCGGAUUUAUUGGGCGUAAAGAGUUCGUAGGUGGUUUGUUAAGUUUGGUGUUAAAGAUCGGGGCUCAACCCUGGGACUGCACUGAAUACUGGCAGACUCGAGUGUGGUAGAGGCUAGUGGAAUUCCCAGUGUAGCGGUGAAAUGCGUAGAUAUUGGGAAGAACACCGGUGGCGUAGGCGACUAGCUGGGCCAUAACUGACGCUGAGGAACGAAAGCCAGGGGAGCGAAUGGGAUUAGAAACCCCAGUAGUCCCAUGAU